UACAGAGGGUGCGAGCGUUAAUCGGAAUUACUGGGCGUAAAGGGUGCGUAGGUGGUUGGAUGAGUCAGAUGUGAAAUUCCAGGGCUUAACCUUGGGACUGCGUUUGAUACUGUUUAGCUAGAGUAUUGUAGAGGAUAGUAGAAUUUCCGGUGUAGCGGUGAAAUGCGUAGAUAUCGGAAGGAAUAUCGGUGGCGAAGGCGACUAUCUGGACAAAUACUGACACUGAGGCACGAAAGCAUGGGGAGCAAACAGG
RNAcentral lists this ribosomal RNA (253 nucleotides) under uncultured bacterium. RNAcentral's name for it is "partial 16S ribosomal RNA". It matches the Rfam family "Bacterial small subunit ribosomal RNA", at positions 524 to 776 of the family's 1533-position model. The record is from RNAcentral.